GCGAACGGGAUUAGAUACCCUGGUAGUCCACGCUGUAAACGAUGUCGAUUUGGAGGUUGUGCCCUUGAGGCGUGGCUUCCGGAGCUAACGCGUUAAAUCGACCGCCUGGGGAGUACGGCCGCAAGGUUAAAACUCAAAUGAAUUGACGGGGGCCCGCACAAGCGGUGGAGCAUGUGGUUUAAUUCGAUGCAACGCGAAGAACCUUACCUACUCUUGACAUCCAGAGAACUUUCCAGAGAUGGAUUGGUGCCUUCGGGAACUCUGAGACAGGUGCUGCAUGGCUGUCGUCAGCUCGUGUUGUGAAAUGUUGGGUUAAGUCCCGCAACGAGCGCAACCCUUAUCCUUUGUUGCCAGCGGUUCGGCCGGGAACUCAAAGGAGACUGCCAGUGAUAAACUGGAGGAAGGUGGGGAUGACGUCAAGUCAUCAUGGCCCUUACGAGUAGGGCUACACACGUGCUACAAUGGCAUAUACAAAGAGAAGCGACCUCGCGAGAGCAAGCGGACCUCAUAAAGUAUGUCGUAGUCCGGAUUGGAGUCUGCAACUCGACUCCAUGAAGUCGGAAUCGCUAGUAAUCGUAGAUCAGAAUGCUACGGUGAAUACGUUCCCGGGCCUUGUACACACCGCCCGUCACACCAUGGGAGUGGGUUGCAAAAGAAGUAGGUAGCUUAACCUUCGGGAGGGCGCUUACCACUUUGUGAU
RNAcentral lists this ribosomal RNA (700 nucleotides) under uncultured Serratia sp. RNAcentral describes it as "bacterial SSU rRNA". It matches the Rfam family "Bacterial small subunit ribosomal RNA", at positions 768 to 1468 of the family's 1533-position model. The record is from RNAcentral. Lineage: Bacteria; Pseudomonadati; Pseudomonadota; Gammaproteobacteria; Enterobacterales; Yersiniaceae.